This 484-nucleotide ribosomal RNA is filed under the name uncultured bacterium. Its description in RNAcentral is "partial 16S ribosomal RNA". It matches the Rfam family "Bacterial small subunit ribosomal RNA", at positions 30 to 507 of the family's 1533-position model. The record is from RNAcentral.
AUUGAACGCUGGCGGCAGGCCUAACACAUGCAAGUCGAGCGGAUGAAGGGAGCUUGCUCCUGGAUUCAGCGGCGGACGGGUGUGUAAUGCCUAGGAAUCUGCCUGGUCGUGGGGGAUAACGUCCGGAAACGGGCGCUAAUCCCGCAUACGUCCUGAGGGAGAAAGUGGGGGAUCUUCGGACCUCACGCUAUCAGAUGAGCCUAGGUCGGAUUAGCUAGUUGGUGGGGUAAAGGCCUACAAAGGCGACGAUCCGUAACUGGUCUGAGAGGAUGAUCAGGCACACUGGGACUGAGACACGGUCCAGACUCCUACGGGAGGCAGCAGUGGGGAAUAUUGGACAAUGGGCGAAAGCCUGAUCCAGCCAUGCCGCGUGUGUGAAGAAGGUCUUCGGAUUGUAAAGCACUUUAAGUGGGGAGGAAGGGCAGUAAGUGAAUACCUUGCUGUUUUGACGUUACCAACAGAAUAAGCACCGGCUAACUUCGUG